Molecule: unclassified non-coding RNA, 1590 nt
Filed under: Leishmania donovani
Lineage: Eukaryota; Euglenozoa; Kinetoplastea; Trypanosomatida; Trypanosomatidae
Description: gene:LdHU3.30.3710(CDS-product:superoxide_dismuta se_putative)
Source: RNAcentral
CGGCUUCAUGCGCGUCUCUCUGCUGCGGCGCUUUUGCGAGUACGUGCCCAAAGGGGCACCGACGCAGGUGAGCCUUGCUGUCGAGACGCCGUACAGUGUUACACGCGCCUUUCGCAUGACGGAGAUGGCGGCCGCGGCGGCGGAUGCAGAGCGAGACGCGAAGGGUUUCUUUUACCUCCCCCGGGUGGACUACGAUGUUGGCCAGGGGGUCGCGCCGCUCAUGUCGAGAAAGCAAUUCGAUGUUCAGUAUCACGUAUUUCACAAGGCAGCGGUGGAUCGUCUGAACGCACACACCUUGGGAUCUGAACUGGAGGGGCACAACCUGAACGUUGUCAUCCGCAACUCCUCCUUCGAUGCAUCGCGCGCCGUCAUCCACGCUGCAGCGUCGGAGCAUUUCAACUACUGCUUCUGGUAUCGUUCUCUGCGUCCGUGGGGAACGGCGGUGCCAGCGCGGCUCAAGGAAGAGCUGCAGCUGCAGUACAGUCAAAAUGGGACCUUAGACGCUGUCGAGGAGGUGCAACGACUGUUCACGGUCGCCGCGCUUUCUCAGCAGUCCGCCGGCGGAUGGGUGUAUCUCGUCUGGACCGGUAAGGCGUUUGACGUGAUCCCUUUUGACCACGGGAGCUGCCCUAUCGGCAGCGACUUGAUUCCACUCCUAGCGCUGAACACGCACGAGUCGGCACGUUGUUACGACUACCCACUUGCGGCGGAGGACGAGGAGGGGGACGAGGUGGAGCGCUUUGUUCGAAACUUCUUCAAGACGUGCAACUGGAGGCUGGUGGAGCACUACUUCCUUCAGUGCGCUCGGGCCUAGCGAGCCGCUCGACUGUCUGCCGCGUUUCCGCUUCUAUUCACAUUGGCGUGCUCUCGUGUGUGCAUUCUUUUGUGCUGGCCUUGAUGUCUUGUGUGCUGUGGUGGUGGUAUGUCUCACUGAGCGACGUCCUGCGGUGCACGGUUCGCCUCCAUUGGCGGUGCGCCGCGGUUGUCGUGGCCAACUGUGCAGGCACGUUGUCAAGCAAUCCGCAUACGUCUGUCGCUCUACCCCUGCCUCUCUGCAUGCCUGGAUGAAUCGACGCGUUGCAGAACAAUAAAAAAAGGCCAACAACAACGCUAACAGCAGGAUACAUGGGAGGGACAAGCCUGCGCAGUGAUGACCUGUCCGUGUGUAUUAUGAGCUGCUUCCUCGGCACCCGCCUCGCACAUGCGUUCGAUGCUUGAGCAUUCGAAGCAAAAAAAAAAGUGCCACGCCAAGGCGUGCCGCAGUUCUUCUCGCAGACUCCAACGCGCGUGCAGCGCGACCAUAAACAACAGUGCCGAUCGGCCGUUUGCGGGGACUGUUGCCAAUCUCGGGUUAUUGUGUGAUCCUUGCGCGCCAUAAGGCUCCAGGUUUCACCCGCACUUCAGCCUCCACUUCUUGCCACUGCUGCGACCGCGUCUCCGGGCGUUCUCAUUCUACCUCUCCCAUUCAUUGGAAUAUUCUCUGGUGAUGUGUCGGCGUCACGUAACCAAUGAUCGGUUGGCCACGUUGGUUUUUUUUUGUUUGCUGUUGUUGCGCCCCGUUGCCCACGUUACGUCUGUGCAUCCCUUCAG